GAGUUGAUUUACUAGUUCAAUGGCUUCCUAUAUAUGCUGAGAAUUUACAAUUUCUGUCACUCAUUGAUAGAAGAAAUACAAAAGAUUUCUACCUUAGAACAAAUAUGGAAGAGAGGAGGGAUAAAUAUAGGAGAUUAUUUCCCCAUAAGGACUGCAAUGAAAAAACAGAGACAAGUUUCCUAUAGGUUUAGACAUUGGUUCUCUUUGAGCAUAUUGACACCAGUCAUCAAAUUUCCUCUGCAAAACUUUGUAUCAUGCCGAAAAAUAACGAUAGGACUGGUGAAACAAGGGCUAAAUUUUAUGGUUUUCACAUUUUCUUGGUGAGUAGCAUAUCAUCUAUAUUCCCAUCAUCACUGUCAUUUGUAAUCCUUUAAAUAGUACUAGUCCUUUAAAUAAUGGUGGCCAUUCAUCAUCACCAGUCUUUUGUA
This is a long non-coding RNA of Pistacia vera, 428 nucleotides long. RefSeq lists it as uncharacterized. The transcript is spliced from 3 exons. NCBI's taxonomy places the organism in Eukaryota, Viridiplantae, Streptophyta, Magnoliopsida, Sapindales, Anacardiaceae. The record is from RefSeq and is a predicted model, not a curated record.